RNAcentral lists this ribosomal RNA (253 nucleotides) under uncultured bacterium. RNAcentral describes it as "partial 16S ribosomal RNA". It matches the Rfam family "Bacterial small subunit ribosomal RNA", at positions 524 to 776 of the family's 1533-position model. The record is from RNAcentral.
GACGUAGGGCGCGAGCGUUGUCCGGAUUUAUUGGGCGUAAAGAUCUCGUAGGCGGCUCGUUGCGUCGGCUGUGAAAACCCGCAGCUCAACUGUGGGCUUGCAGCCGAUACGGGCGGGCUGGGAUUCGGUAGGGGAGACUGGAAUUCCUGGUGUAGCGGUGAAAUGCGCAGAUAUCAGGAGGAACACCGGUGGCGAAGGCGGGUCUCUGGGCCGAUACUGACGCUGAGUAGCGAAAGCGUGGGGAGCGAACAGG